Non-coding RNA from Phrynosoma platyrhinos (Desert horned lizard), 70 nucleotides. Lineage: Eukaryota; Metazoa; Chordata; Lepidosauria; Squamata; Phrynosomatidae. The record is from the annotation of a GenBank genome assembly.
AUAGUAUUUAUUUAGUGGUUUGAGUGCUGGACUACAACUCCAGAGAUCAGGGUUCAAUUCCCAGCCCAUA